This 466-nucleotide ribosomal RNA is filed under the name uncultured bacterium. Its description in RNAcentral is "partial 16S ribosomal RNA". It matches the Rfam family "Bacterial small subunit ribosomal RNA", at positions 28 to 507 of the family's 1533-position model. The record is from RNAcentral.
GACGAACGCUGGCGGCGCGCCUAACACAUGCAAGUCGAACGAGCGAGCGAGAGCUUGCUUUCUCGAGCGAUUGGCGAACGGGUGAGUAACGCGUGAGGAACCUGCCUCUAAGAGGGGGACAACAGUUGGAAACGACUGCUAAUACCGCAUAAGCCCACGGCUCGCCAUCGAUCCGGGGGAAAAGGAGCAGUUCGCUUUGAGAUGGCCGCGCGUCCGAUUAGCUUGAUGGUGUGGUAACGGCCCACCAAGGCGACGAUCGGUAGCCGGACUGAGAGGUUGAACGGACACAUUGGGGGUGAGCCACGGCCCAGAAUCCUACGGGAGGGGGGAGUGGGGGACAGUGCACAAUGGGGGAAGUGCUGAUGCAGCGAGGACGGGUGGAGGAUGAAGUUCUUCGGAUUGUAAACUCCUGUUGUCGGGGAAGAUAAUGACGGUACCCAACAAGGAAGUGACGGCUAACUACGUG